AUUAACCAGCUAGGUUUGCAGGAGCUCCAGGACAACGAGAUUGACCAGCGGGUGCACAGGAGCUCCAGGACAAUGAGUGAUCAUCGGACAUCCUGGAGUUCUGUGCCCACCUGACGAGUCCAACCCAUUCUCAGAUGAAGUCAUGUGACACCUACUGUAGACAGAACCAUUACAGAAAGUGGGCCAGGUCAUGUGUAAUCCCUGCUGUCUAUGGGUUGACAUCAUUACCAACCAAGCAGCUCACAUCACAUAUCCAUGACCU
Thalassophryne amazonica is the source of this 262-nucleotide long non-coding RNA. RefSeq lists it as uncharacterized. NCBI's taxonomy places the organism in Eukaryota, Metazoa, Chordata, Actinopteri, Batrachoidiformes, Batrachoididae. The transcript has 3 exons. The record is from RefSeq and is a predicted model, not a curated record.